Molecule: non-coding RNA, 471 nt
Organism: Zootermopsis nevadensis
Lineage: Eukaryota; Metazoa; Arthropoda; Insecta; Blattodea; Termopsidae
Source: RefSeq, a predicted model, not a curated record
AGAGCGUUCCAUUUAUUUCAGAAAUAGCCUUCACGUUCUUUUUUCUCUCCUUGAUUCGAUUACAUUUCUUUUGCACAUUUUACUCAUUUUAUGGCAUCGAUUGUACGUCAUAUAUAAAUAAAUUGGUAGAGAUACUCAUGUGUCAGUUCACAAGUUUCAAGUCCUCUGUCAAGAUCAGGUCGCGAGUAAACAGCAGCAAUGUACAAGUACUUGGUGUUUUUAAUGCUUCUAGUCGCGGUUAUCUGCCACGCUGCGGCCAUCCCACAACCUGAUGGAGGUCAUGGUAGCCACGGUAGCCACGGUGGACACGGUGGAGGCCACGGUGGACACGGAGGAGGCCACGGCGGUCACCACGGGCAUCAUUAUUAAGAUACUGGAUUAUAUUCACUUCAAACAUGUCUCACAAAGACACUAGUCAACAGGCAGUGUAACUAAAAAUUUUAGACAAUAAAUCGACGUUUCAAUAAGUAA